UACGUAGGGUGCAAGCGUUAAUCGGAAUUACUGGGCGUAAAGCGUGCGCAGGCGGUUGUGCAAGACCGAUGUGAAAUCCCCGGGCUUAACCUGGGAAUGGCAUUGGUGACUGCACGGCUAGAGUGUGUCAGAGGGGGGUAGAAUUCCACGUGUAGCAGUGAAAUGCGUAGAGAUGUGGAGGAAUACCGAUGGCGAAGGCAGCACCCUGGGAUAACACUGACGCUCAUGCACGAAAGCGUGGGGAGCAAACAGG
This 253-nucleotide ribosomal RNA is filed under the name uncultured bacterium. Its description in RNAcentral is "partial 16S ribosomal RNA". It matches the Rfam family "Bacterial small subunit ribosomal RNA", at positions 524 to 776 of the family's 1533-position model. The record is from RNAcentral.